UACGGAGGGGGCUAGCGUUGUUCGGAAUUACUGGGCGUAAAGCGCACGUAGGCGGCUUUGUAAGUUAGAGGUGAAAGCCCGGGGCUCAACUCCGGAAUUGCCUUUAAGACUGCAUCGCUAGAAUUGUGGAGAGGUAAGUGGAAUUCCGAGUGUAGAGGUGAAAUUCGUAGAUAUUCGGAAGAACACCAGUGGCGAAGGCGGCUCACUGGACUGGUAUUGACGCUGAGGUGCGAAAGCGUGGGGAGCAAACAGG
RNAcentral lists this ribosomal RNA (253 nucleotides) under uncultured bacterium. RNAcentral describes it as "partial 16S ribosomal RNA". It matches the Rfam family "Bacterial small subunit ribosomal RNA", at positions 524 to 776 of the family's 1533-position model. The record is from RNAcentral.